GCGACACUAGCUCAGUUGGUAGAGCGCAACCUUGCCAAGGUUGAGGUAACGAGUUCGAACCUCGUGGGUCGCUCCA
RNAcentral lists this transfer RNA (76 nucleotides) under Vibrio jasicida. RNAcentral's name for it is "tRNA-Gly". It matches the Rfam family "tRNA". From Rfam's summary of the family: Transfer RNA (tRNA) molecules are approximately 80 nucleotides in length. Their secondary structure includes four short double-helical elements and three loops (D, anti-codon, and T loops). Further hydrogen bonds mediate the characteristic L-shaped molecular structure. tRNAs have two regions of fundamental functional importance: the anti-codon, which is responsible for specific mRNA codon recognition, and the 3' end, to which the tRNAs corresponding amino acid is attached (by aminoacyl-tRNA synthetases). tRNAs cope with the degeneracy of the genetic code in two manners: having more than one tRNA (with a specific anti-codon) for a particular amino acid; and 'wobble' base-pairing, i.e. permitting non-standard base-pairing at the 3rd anti-codon position. The record is from RNAcentral. Lineage: Bacteria; Pseudomonadati; Pseudomonadota; Gammaproteobacteria; Vibrionales; Vibrionaceae.